GCUAGCGUUGCUCGGAAUCACUGGGCGUAAAGCGCACGUAGGCGGAUUGCUAAGUCAGGGGUGAAAUCCUGGAGCUCAACUCCAGAACUGCCCUUGAUACUGGCGGUCUCGAGUCCGGGAGAGGUGAGUGGAACUGCGAGUGUAGAGGUGAAAUUCGUAGAUAUUCGGAAGAACACCAGUGGCGAAGGCGACUUACUGGACACGUAUUGACGCUGAGGUGCGAAAGCGUGGGGAGCAAACAGG
Molecule: ribosomal RNA, 243 nt
Filed under: uncultured bacterium
Lineage: Bacteria
Description: partial 16S ribosomal RNA
Rfam family: Bacterial small subunit ribosomal RNA
Source: RNAcentral